Molecule: ribosomal RNA, 2332 nt
Filed under: Listeria monocytogenes
Lineage: Bacteria; Bacillati; Bacillota; Bacilli; Caryophanales; Listeriaceae
Description: partial 23S ribosomal RNA
Rfam family: Bacterial large subunit ribosomal RNA
Source: RNAcentral
UUGGUUAAGUUAGAAAGGGCGCACGGUGGAUGCCUUGGCACUAGGAGCCGAAGAAGGACGGGACUAACACCGAUAUGCUUUGGGGAGCUGUACGUAAGCGUUGAUCCAGAGAUUUCCGAAUGGGGGAACCCACUAUCUUUAGUCGGAUAGUAUCCUUACGUGAAUACAUAGCGUAAGGAAGGCAGACCCAGGGAACUGAAACAUCUAAGUACCUGGAGGAAGAGAAAGAAAAAUCGAUUUCCUGAGUAGCGGCGAGCGAAACGGAAAGAGCCCAAACCAAGAAGCUUGCUUCUUGGGGUUGUAGGACACUCUAUACGGAGUUACAAAAGAAAGUUAUAAAUGAAGCGGUCUGGAAAGGCCCGCCAAAGACGGUAACAGCCCGGUAGUUGAAAUGGCUUUCCCUCCAGAGUGGAUCCUGAGUACGGCGGAACACGUGAAAUUCCGUCGGAAUCCGGGAGGACCAUCUCCCAAGGCUAAAUACUCCCUAGUGACCGAUAGUGAACCAGUACCGUGAGGGAAAGGUGAAAAGCACCCCGGAAGGGGAGUGAAACAGUUCCUGAAACCGUGUGCCUACAAGUAGUUAGAGCCCGUUAAUGGGUGAUAGCGUGCCUUUUGUAGAAUGAACCGGCGAGUUACGAUUUGUUGCAAGGUUAAGCGGAAAAAGCGGAGCCGUAGCGAAAGCGAGUCUGAAUAGGGCGCAUAAGUAACAGGUCGUAGACCCGAAACCAGGUGAUCUACCCAUGUCCAGGAUGAAGGUAAGGUAAUACUUACUGGAGGUCCGAACCCACGCACGUUGAAAAGUGCGGGGAUGAGGUGUGGGUAGCGGAGAAAUUCCAAUCGAACUUGGAGAUAGCUGGUUCUCUCCGAAAUAGCUUUAGGGCUAGCCUCGAGGUAAAGAGUCAUGGAGGUAGAGCACUGUUUGGACUAGGGGCCCUUCUCGGGUUACCGAAUUCAGAUAAACUCCGAAUGCCAUGUACUUAUACUCGGGAGUCAGACUGCGAGUGAUAAGAUCCGUAGUCGAAAGGGAAACAGCCCAGACCACCAGUUAAGGUCCCCAAAUAUAUGUUAAGUGGAAAAGGAUGUGGGGUUGCUUAGACAACCAGGAUGUUGGCUUAGAAGCAGCCACCAUUGAAAGAGUGCGUAAUAGCUCACUGGUCGAGUGACCCCGCGCCGAAAAUGUACCGGGGCUAAACAUAUUACCGAAACUGUGGAUGAACCUCAUUAGAGGUUCGUGGUAGGAGAGCGUUCUAAGGGCGGUGAAGUCAGACCGGAAGGACUGGUGGAGCGCUUAGAAGUGAGAAUGCCGGUAUGAGUAGCGAAAGAAGGGUGAGAAUCCCUUCCACCGAAUAUCUAAGGUUUCCUGAGGAAGGCUCGUCCGCUCAGGGUUAGUCGGGACCUAAGCCGAGGCCGAUAGGCGUAGGCGAUGGACAACAGGUAGAGAUUCCUGUACCAGUGCUAAUUGUUUAACCGAUGGGGUGACACAGAAGGAUAGGGAAUCGCACGAAUGGAAAUGUGCGUCCAAGCAGUGAGUGUGAGAAGUAGGCAAAUCCGCUUCUCGCGAAGCAUGAGCUGUGAUGGGGAAGGAAAUUAAGUACGGAAGUUCCUGAUUUCACGCUGUCAAGAAAAGCCUCUAGGAAGAGUAGUACUGCCCGUACCGCAAACCGACACAGGUAGAUGAGGAGAGAAUCCUAAGGUGAGCGAGAGAACUCUCGUUAAGGAACUCGGCAAAAUGACCCCGUAACUUCGGGAGAAGGGGUGCUCUAUUAGGGUGCAAGCCCGAGAGAGCCGCAGUGAAUAGGCCCAGGCGACUGUUUAGCAAAAACACAGGUCUCUGCAAAACCGUAAGGUGACGUAUAGGGGCUGACGCCUGCCCGGUGCUGGAAGGUUAAGAGGAGUGCUUAGCUUCGGCGAAGGUACGAAUUGAAGCCCCAGUAAACGGCGGCCGUAACUAUAACGGUCCUAAGGUAGCGAAAUUCCUUGUCGGGUAAGUUCCGACCCGCACGAAAGGCGCAACGAUCUGGGCACUGUCUCAACGAGAGACUCGGUGAAAUUAUAGUACCUGUGAAGAUGCAGGUUACCCGCGACAGGACGGAAAGACCCCGUGGAGCUUUACUGCAACCUGAUAUGGAAUGUUUGUACCGCUUGUACAGGAUAGGUAGGAGCCGAAGAGACGUGUGCGCUAGCAUACGAGGAGGCAAUGGUGGGAUACUACCCUGGCUGUAUGACCAUUCUAACCCGCCACGCUUAGCGCGUGGGGAGACAGUGUCAGGUGGGCAGUUUGACUGGGGCGGUCGCCUCCUAAAGAGUAACGGAGGCGCCCAAAGGUUCCCUC